This 323-nucleotide ribosomal RNA is filed under the name uncultured bacterium. RNAcentral's name for it is "bacterial SSU rRNA". It matches the Rfam family "Bacterial small subunit ribosomal RNA", at positions 30 to 352 of the family's 1533-position model. The record is from RNAcentral.
AUUGAACGCUGGCGGCAGGCCUAACACAUGCAAGUCGAGCGGUAGAGAGGUGCUUGCAUCUCUUGAGAGCGGCGGACGGGUGAGUAAUGCCUAGGAAUCUGCCUAGUGUGGGGGAUAAACGUUUCGGAAACGGACGCUAAUACCGCAUACGUCCUACGGGAGAAAGCGGGGGAUCUUCGGACCUCGCGCCAUUAGAUGAGCCUAGGUCGGAUUAGCUAGUUGGUGAGGUAAUGGCUCACCAAGGCGACGAUCCGUAACUGGUCUGAGAGGAUGAUCAGUCACACUGGAACUGAGACACGGUCCAGACUCCUACGGGAGGCAGC